Molecule: transfer RNA, 73 nt
Filed under: Hadarchaeaceae archaeon (SeqCode)
Lineage: Archaea; Methanobacteriati; Hadarchaeota (SeqCode); Hadarchaeia (SeqCode); Hadarchaeales (SeqCode); Hadarchaeaceae (SeqCode)
Also listed under: 1 other name
Description: Candidatus Hadarchaeaceae archaeon tRNA-Thr
Rfam family: tRNA
About the family: Transfer RNA (tRNA) molecules are approximately 80 nucleotides in length. Their secondary structure includes four short double-helical elements and three loops (D, anti-codon, and T loops).
Source: RNAcentral
GCCGCCGUAGCUCAGUUGGAAGAGCAAUCGCCUUGUAAGCGAUAGGUCGUGGGAUCGUGACCCACCGGCGGCU